RNAcentral lists this ribosomal RNA (774 nucleotides) under uncultured Neocallimastigales. Its description in RNAcentral is "partial large subunit ribosomal RNA". It matches the Rfam family "Eukaryotic large subunit ribosomal RNA", at positions 20 to 616 of the family's 3401-position model. Lineage: Eukaryota; Fungi; Neocallimastigomycota; Neocallimastigomycetes; Neocallimastigales. The record is from RNAcentral.
UACUAGAGUAGCACUCGCAUAUCAAUAAGCGGAGGAAAAGAAACUAACAAGGAUUCCCCUAGUAACGGCGAGUGAAGCGGGAAGAGCUCAAAUUUGAAAUCUUAAAGGGUUUCCCUUUACGAAUUGUAGUUUAAAGAAGUGUUUUCUGUUGAGGUUUUGGUAAAAGUUCUUUGGAAUAGGACAUCAUAGAGGGUGAGAAUCCCGUAUUUGACCUUUACUUUCAACUUUGUGAUACACUUUCAAAGAGUCGGAUUGUUUGGGAAUGCAGUCCAAAAUGGGUGGUAAAUUUCAUCUAAAGCUAAGUAUUGGCGAGAGACCGAUAGCGAACAAGUACCGUGAGGGAAAGAUGAAAAGAACUUUGAAAAGAGAGUUAAACAGUACGUGAAAUUGUCAAAAGGGAAGCGUUUGACACCAGUGUUGUUUUUCUGAAAAUCAAUUAAAGAACUGUUUAUGCUAAGUUGUUUAGACUUUAUCAGCUAACUGUUUAGUUUUGAGCUUUUCUUUAAUGCACUUUUCAGUUAACAAGUCAACAUCAAUUUCUUUUGCUGUAAAAAAGCUUGAGGAAGGUGGCUUGAGAUUCGUCUCAAGUGUUUAUAGCCUCUUGCCUAUGCAGUCGGAGAGAUUGAGGUCUGCAGCGUAGAUCCUUCGGGGCUAAAUGCAUUUGUGCUAAGUUAUAGCAUUUUAUAGACAACUUGUUGACUAUGAUUUGUCUUGUAGCUUACUCGCUUAUGUUAUUUUACCUACGCUUAGGAUGUUGAGCGCAUGUCUCUCUCU